This is a long non-coding RNA of Benincasa hispida (wax gourd), 908 nucleotides long. RefSeq lists it as uncharacterized. The record is from RefSeq and is a predicted model, not a curated record. Lineage: Eukaryota; Viridiplantae; Streptophyta; Magnoliopsida; Cucurbitales; Cucurbitaceae.
AAACUGAGAGGAAGAGGAAAAAAAAAAAAGAGAAUUUGAGAGAUUUUGGAAAAAUUGAGGUGCUUUCUAUUGAAAUUUCUCAUUGGAUGGCUUUGAGGUUAAGAAUUAAUCAUCUGGGAACGUGUUAAACCAGAAAUUGAAGCUGGAAAACAAAGAGAAAAAAGGAAUUUCGAUUUUUUUUUUCAGUUUUGCCGACCGAAGAAGAGGAAAAAGUUGUUUUCGAAUUAAGGCUGUUCUUGAAAAUUGGGCAAAAUGAAAUAAAAUUAAAGAGGAAGUAAGGAAGAAGCACGUAGGAUGCUUGAUUUGAAGAAAUUUGGCCGAAGAAGAAAGGAAAAUGAAGAAAAACAGUGGCGCUAGAGUUAUCGCGAAAGCAGAGGAUACUCGGGUUUUUAGAAAAUUCGUGGAGUUAGAGGCUAAUUCGAAGCUCAAAAUUUAAAGGGGUACCGUGGAGAGUUUGGUCGAUUCCGGGCGUUCUAGGACAAUUCGAACGUCCAAACUUUGAGCACUGCUCAGGCGAUCAGGGGGCUACCGGGGUCAGAUAUUGCUAGAAUAUAUCCGGAAGUCCAGAGGAACCUGCACCUGUAGCGCCACCCAGGCUAUCAAGGGGCUAUCAUCGGGGUUAGAUGUGGUCAGAGUAUACCAGGGAGUCCAGAGUAACCUGGGCCUGUGGUGUGUAUUUAUGCUUAGCCUUGAGGCAGCUCUGCAAGCACAUAUGACCUUGUGAUUUGGUUUACACCGCGGGGAGCAUUCUUUGUCCAGAGUAACCCAUCGUUGUAAACGAGUAUUUGGGUACAGAGUUUGUGUGGUUUUCUGAUAAUGACUUAAUGCUUUAUAAUGUGCUUAUGAGAGUUGAUCAUGCCACUUUUUUUUACUAGCACGUGUUUGAGAUGUUGUUGAAUCGUUUAUAC